This 657-nucleotide long non-coding RNA is filed under the name Pan troglodytes (chimpanzee). RNAcentral describes it as "long non-coding RNA NONPTRT002520". Lineage: Eukaryota; Metazoa; Chordata; Mammalia; Primates; Hominidae. The record is from RNAcentral.
GGCCAGGAGGGGCAAGCAAAGGUAAAGGGGAGGACAUUAGCUGAGCCCUGGCCCACAGGUUCCACCAGCAAGUGUGCAGCCACCUUCACCUGUUCUUCCUGAUUGGAGAUAAACAGGCCCACAAGCAGCUGCCCUCCACCCUUUUCCUGAGGCUCCUUCAACUGGCCACUGCCAGCAUUGACCGCUAUGAACCCUGGGACCAAGCUGCCCUGGUCAAGGUGGCCCAGCAUCACCUGGAGGGUGCUCAGAGUGUACCCCUUGAUGACGGAUCCAGCAUGCCUUGGAGAAUCUGAGAAUGCUGACUAAGGAGCACGGUACCCAUGCCAAUCUGAUCUUUGACUUGGAACAGCAGCUGAAAGACUCCGGCAAGAGUCUCAGCAUGUUUCAGCAGCAGCUAGAGCAAAGCAAGCUCCUACACAAGCAGCAGCUGGAAGAGUGUCGGCAUCAAGAGAACCUCAUUGAGAACCUGGCCAGGCAACGGGAUGCCCUGCAAGCUCAGCAAGAGGCUUUCCUGGAGCAGAUGAGCAAGGCAUUUCUGGAGCCUCUGAGCCAGCUGCAGAUGGCUGACUUUGAGGAGAUACGGAGCUAUCGAGCACCACCAGAAUCUGUGGUCCGGGUGACUGAUGCAAUGUGUGACUUGUUCCACCAUGAAACAGG